RNAcentral lists this small RNA (28 nucleotides) under Bombyx mori (domestic silkworm). RNAcentral's name for it is "ovarian small RNA-34275". The record is from RNAcentral. Lineage: Eukaryota; Metazoa; Arthropoda; Insecta; Lepidoptera; Bombycidae.
UGCUUCAUAUGAUACCAGCAGGUGGGAA